UGGGGAAUAUUGCGCAAUGGGCGAAAGCCUGACGCAGCAACGCCGCGUGAGUGAUGAAGGCCUUAGGGUUGUAAAACUCUUUCGCCGGGGAAGAUAAUGACGGUACCCGGAGAAGAAGCUCCGGCUAACUUCGUGCCAGCAGCCGCGGUAAUACGAAGGGAGCUAGCGUUGUUCGGAAUUACUGGGCGUAAAGCGCACGUAGGCGGACUUGUCAGUCAGGGGUGAAAUCCCAAGGCUCAACCUUGGAACUGCCUCCGAUACAGCAAGCCUAGAGAUCGGGAGAGGUGAGUGGAAUUCCUAGUGUAGAGGUGAAAUUCGUAGAUAUUAGGAAGAACACCAGUGGCGAAGGCGGCUCACUGGCCCGAUACUGACGCUGAGGUGCGAAAGCGUGGGGAGCAAACAGGAUUAGAUACCCAGGUAGUCCCUGAGCGGGCUGGCAAGGCGCAU
Molecule: ribosomal RNA, 447 nt
Filed under: uncultured bacterium
Lineage: Bacteria
Description: bacterial SSU rRNA
Rfam family: Bacterial small subunit ribosomal RNA
Source: RNAcentral